CCAGUUGUUCUGCCAAGGGCAUGGCUGGGUAGCUAUGUACGGAAUGGAUAAGCGCUGAAAGCAUCUAAGCGCGAAGCCAACUUCAAGAUAAGAUUUCCCACCGCAAGGGUAAGACCCCAGAAAGACUAUCUGGUUGAUAGGUCGAAGGUGUAAGUGCAGCAAUGUAUUUAGCUUAUCGAUACUAAUAGGUCGAGGACUUGACCAA
RNAcentral lists this ribosomal RNA (205 nucleotides) under Clostridioides difficile. RNAcentral describes it as "partial 23S ribosomal RNA". It matches the Rfam family "Bacterial large subunit ribosomal RNA", at positions 2717 to 2925 of the family's 2925-position model. The record is from RNAcentral. Lineage: Bacteria; Bacillati; Bacillota; Clostridia; Peptostreptococcales; Peptostreptococcaceae.